CUCGGCUCACUGCAUCCUUGACCACCUCCCGAGGCUCAGAUGAUUCUCCCACCUCGACUUUGCAAGUGGCUGGGACUUUUGAAAAUGUCUCUUCAGAUUCAUUAAUUGAACGGACCUCCCCCUCCUCACUGCGUCUUCCAGGCUAGAGUGAAGUGGUGUGAUCUCGG
Cercocebus atys (sooty mangabey) is the source of this 167-nucleotide long non-coding RNA. RefSeq lists it as uncharacterized. NCBI's taxonomy places the organism in Eukaryota, Metazoa, Chordata, Mammalia, Primates, Cercopithecidae. The record is from RefSeq and is a predicted model, not a curated record. The transcript is spliced from 3 exons.